RNAcentral lists this ribosomal RNA (462 nucleotides) under uncultured bacterium. RNAcentral describes it as "bacterial SSU rRNA". It matches the Rfam family "Bacterial small subunit ribosomal RNA", at positions 28 to 507 of the family's 1533-position model. The record is from RNAcentral.
GACGAACGCUGGCGGCGUGCUUAAUACAUGCAAGUCGAACGGAGUUAAGGGUUUCGGCUUUAACUUAGUGGCGAACGGGUGAGUAACGCGUGAAUAACCUGACUCAAAGAGGGGGGAUAACAACGGGAAACUGUUGCUAAUACCGCAUGAGACCACAACACCGCAUGAUGAAGGGGUCAAAGAUUUAUCGCUUUGAGAGGGGUUCGCGUCCCAUUAGCUUGUUGGUGGGGUAACGGCUCACCAAGGCGACGAUCCCUAGCUGGUCUGAGAGGAUGACCAGCCACACUGGAACUGAGACACGGUCCAGACUCCUACGGGAGGCAGCAGUGGGGAAUAUUGCACAAUGGGCGAAAGCCUGAUGCAGCGACGCCGCGUGAGCGAAGAAGUAUUUCGGUAUGUAAAGCUCUAUCAGCAGGGAAGAUAAUGACGGUACCUGACUAAGAAGCGCCGGCUAAAUACGUG